RNAcentral lists this transfer RNA (71 nucleotides) under Loxodonta africana (African savanna elephant). It matches the Rfam family "tRNA". From Rfam's summary of the family: Transfer RNA (tRNA) molecules are approximately 80 nucleotides in length. The record is from Rfam by way of RNAcentral. Lineage: Eukaryota; Metazoa; Chordata; Mammalia; Proboscidea; Elephantidae.
GCAGUGGUGGUUCAGUGGUAGAAUUCUCAUCUUCCAUGCAGGAGACCCAGGUUCAAUUCCCAGCCAAUGCA